RNAcentral lists this ribosomal RNA (390 nucleotides) under uncultured bacterium. RNAcentral's name for it is "bacterial SSU rRNA". It matches the Rfam family "Bacterial small subunit ribosomal RNA", at positions 30 to 418 of the family's 1533-position model. The record is from RNAcentral.
AUUGAACGCUGGCGGAAUGCUUUACACAUGCAAGUCGAACGGCAGCACGGGAGCUUGCUCCUGGUGGCGAGUGGCGAACGGGUGAGUAAUAUAUCGGAACGUAUCCAAUAAUGGGGGAUAACUAGUCGAAAGAUUAGCUAAUACCGCAUACGCCCUGAGGGGGAAAGCUGGGGAUCUUCGGACCUAGCGUUAAUGGAGCGGCCGAUAUCUGAUUAGCUAGUAGGUGAGGUAAAGGCUCACCUAGGCAUCGAUCAGUAGCUGGUCUGAGAGGACGACCAGCCACACUGGAACUGAGACACGGUCCAGACUCCUACGGGAGGCAGCAGUGGGGAAUUUUGGACAAUGGGCGCAAGCCUGAUCCAGCCAAUCCGCGUGAGUGAAGAAGGCCUC